This 5152-nucleotide long non-coding RNA is filed under the name Nicotiana benthamiana. RNAcentral describes it as "long non-coding RNA (NBEN_LNC021884)". Lineage: Eukaryota; Viridiplantae; Streptophyta; Magnoliopsida; Solanales; Solanaceae. The record is from RNAcentral.
ACGUACCAAUGAGUUGUUUGCUUACCCUUUCUCUCUUUCUCCUUCAUUUUCUUUUUCAUUUUCCAUGUAUAUAAUUCUCGCUAGUCAAGCUAAAGUAACUUUUCCUUCCUUUACUCUAAAGUUCUCAAGAUCUGAUGUCUGAAAAGUACAUAAACCUUUAUUAGGAGAAGUAGAAGAAAGAACACAAGAAUCUGAAAGAAGAAGCAUAAAAGCAUAUAGCAUAUGACAAUUUACUGCACAUAUAGCCUAGGGGCGGAUUUAGGAGGGCGGAAACCGAAAUUUAUACUGCAUAUUUAAAAUAAAAUCUAUUUUUUAACUUUAUAUAUUAUUUUUCGAAUCCUUUUGACAAAUCUUAAAAAAAUAAUUUAGUUGUCACGGGUCAAAACCUUUGUGAAGUCAGAAGUUCAAUUUCCACUGGCGAUAAUUUCUUUAAUUUUUUAACUUCUUUUUUUUCUGAACUCCCUGAAACAAAAGAAGAUGGAUUGACCAUAGAUCUCCCGACCCAAUUACCAAAAUAAUAUAGAGAUAUCUACUGAACAAAGCGGAUGGCUACAAAAACAAUGGAAGUAUUGUACUUCGGCUUGAGCCUAUGGUUGUCUUGUUGAAUUGCGCUCUCUAACAACUUGUUUGGAUGAGAGUUCCUCAUUUUAUCUUAUUGUAUUGUUAUUCAAAAAUAAUAUUUAUUUUAAUUAUUUUAUUAAAAGUGAUUGUAUUGUAUUGUUAAAUUUAUUGUUCAAAAAUAAUGAAAAGUCUGAAAAAAUCAAUUUGGUGUGGUGGAAUUGUUUCCUAUUUUUCUUUUCAAAUAUACCGUAACUUAUUACUCCACAAUUCUAUUUUUCCCUUUAUCUUUUUUUCUAUGGAGAAUGCAUAAGUAUCCCUCUGACCUAUACCCGGAUUUCCAACUAUACACUUUUUCUUUGCGCGAAUCCUAUUACCCCCCUAAACUUAUUUUAAAUGAAAUUAUUUGCACUCUUAACGCUGACGUAGCAGAGUAUGUGUAUUUCACUCUCCCAAGGAGAGUGAGAAGCAAGAAAAAAUGAUUCAAAUUAUUUUUUAUUCUUUUUACCAUUUUUUCUUACUUUUUUUGCUUUUCCAUUUUCUUUUUCUUUUACUUUUUUUUGUUCGUUUCUUUUCUAAUUCCGGUGGAUAUUCAUUCACUGGCGACUUUGUUUAAUCGUUUUUCUAACAUUUUUUUACACACAAAUUAAAUUCUCAAAAAGAUCCAUUCAUAAGCAAAGCAAAAUACACUCAAAUUUGGGGGAAAAAAAUUCAUCAUCGGGAAACCUUCCCACGCCAGAAAAAAAUAAUGUAUUGACGUUUUAACUGAUAAAGAUUUUCUAAGCUUAUAUUCAUUUUUAUUUCUUUUUAUCUUCCUCCCACACAUAAAUUACACUUUCAAAAAAAGUUUAUAUAAAUAUAUCUAACAAACACAUUUAGAUCGGAAUAAAAAUCUAUCGUCGGAAAGAAAUUCUCUAGAUAAAAUGGUAUUUGUGAAAUUCUGACGACCACCAUUUUAUGCCGCUGGUGACCAAAACAAAAAGAAAGAGAAUAAAUAACAAAAAAAAUGAGAAUAAUAAGAAAUAAGAAAAAAGAAUAAAAAAAGAAGAAAGAAUAGAAAAGGUAUUAAAAAUGCAUGUGGGAGCACGUGUAGUUCACCACUUGUCAAGAGUUUGGUUGUUAGUGUUAAUGGUGCAAAUAGUUACAUUUAAAACAAGUUUAAGGGGGUAAUAGGAUUCUGGCAAAGAAAAAGUAUGUAGUUGGAAAUCCGUGUAUAGGUUGGGGGAUACUUAUGCAUUUUUCCUUUUUUCUAUUUUAAUUCCAAAUCUCCAACUUAUAACCUAUUUUAUUUUAUUUUGAAGAACUUCUGCCGCCAACGUUAAAGGUGUUUUGUCACCUUUUGUUUUAUUUUUUCUCCUAAUGUGCUUUUAACUCGAUUCUAAUUAGUUGUGCUCUUUUGUUUUACCUUCUUCCGUCUUGCUCCUUUGUUCUACUUUCUUAAUGUGUUUUACUUUCUUCUAUUUUGUUUUUUAAAAUUAUUUUUAGGCAUACUUUUUUUAUAUAUAUUUAAACAAUUAAGGGUACUUUAGUAAACUUAUGAAUUACAGUACAGUACGAUACAGUCAAAUCAAACAGCAAAAUAUUAUUUAACAAUAACAAAUAAUAUAAUCUAUCCAAACAUUAUAUUCAUAAAACAAUAAUAUAAUAUAAUAUAAUACAUUAUAAAAUAAUGAGGAACAAUGAUCCAAGCAAAGUGACAAUUAAUAACACUUGUUGUCAAGUUGAUUGCAAUAGAUUGUUGCUAAUUUUGCUAAUAUUUCAGCAUAUAAAAGAUUUUCAUCUUGUAGUUAGUUGGUAUGUAUCAAGAAAAUAAUCCAUUCAUCUUAAUUUUUAAAUCCUUCAAAUAUUGAUCAAGGUUAACAUCGAAUGGUGUAGGUAAAUUUUUUUUGAUAAAUAAUAACUUUUUGGCGAAAUUAGACCCUGACAUCAGAAAUGACAAUAAUAAUCACACAAAUGUCUAGACACGAAAUCAUACACAUAAUAUCCCACAUAACUAUUAAUUUUAUUUUUAAAAGAAGUUUUUAAGAUUAUAUACUUAUUUCCGACUCUUGGAUAUAAAAAUGACCUUUGAAUAUAUGGUACAAAUAUAGCUACUACAAAGAGAGAAAAUCAGCAAUUCUCCAGCAUUAGAGAUAUAAUUAAAUAUGGUGGGAUACCCAAAAACCUCUCUAUACUUGACAGAAUUAUUAGUUACAUUCUAAACUAUCAUGGUCUUAAUUAUUCCACUAAAUUUGGCUUUCUAAGAGCUAUAACCUCCCUAGACGCUUAAAUAGCAAAGAGAGUAAGGUGCACUCUCUUUUAAGCACGUAGGAGUAAAGAAAAAUUGAAAAACCAUCUUCCAAAUAGGUUAUUUUUUAACUUUUAAUUGUCAUAUAUGAUUUAUUUAUUACAAUUACGUAUUUCUUCUUACUUCAUCUUAAUACAUAAUGUGGACUUUACUGUAAUCUUUAUUCUUUCUAAUUUUUUCUAUAAAUAUAAUGUCUAUAUGUUCCAACUACAUAUUUCUUCUUUUCUUUGGGCUAGAUUUGAAAAGUUUGGUGGGGACUCCAUCAUUUUAGCCAAAUAAAAAAUUCCAGCAAAUAUAAUGGAGUACUAGUUGUGUAUUUUUCGUUAUUUUUUCUUUAAAUAUAAUAAGUAUUUACUUUAAUUGUGUAUUUUUAUUUUCGAGUCAAAUUAGUAAAGAAAAUGGCCACAGCUCCAUUAUUUUUUACCAAAUAAAAGGUAUAGCCGAAAUAAUAUUUGCAAUCGUACACCUUUUUUUUAUGCAAUAAUUAUUUAUUUCAACUAUGUAAUUUUAUUUUUUUUGGUAAUAUAUGUAAAAAAAAAUAUUUUUAGAGUUCCAAAUUUAGAACUGUAUAAAAAAUUAGAGCCAAAAUAAUAAAGUUAUGUAUUUUUUAUAUCUUUUUCGAUGUCUUAACUAUUUAUUUUAACUGUAUAAAUCAUUAUUUUCAUGUAAAAUUCAAAAAUAAAAACUAAGACAUUAUUAUUUUUAGCUAAUUAAAAAAAUAAAAAAAGUCAAAAAUACCCCUAAUGUAUUGAAAAUGGUUCACAAAUUUUCUGUGUUAACCUUUUGGUUUAAAAAGACUCUUAAUAUUUUAUUUUUGACUAAUAUAUAUCCUUGAAACCGACCUGGUAAAUAUUGGCACUUAUAAAAUAUCCAUGUAGUAUUUUUUAUGCUUGACACGUGUAUUUUUAUAAAUAAAAUUAAAAACCAUCUAUUUCUUGUAACUCAACCCACCUAAGUCCCUAUAACCUGCGGGUGGCUUCCCUCUUCUUUCAGAAUUGACUACUUCAAUAAUGGAGGUACGAAAAAUAUGCCCAUCUCAUUCUUCUCCUUCUUCCCGUCAGAUAAUAAUUGUAGGCUAUAAUUAUGUAUUUUAGUCAUUUAUUACAUUUUAAUUUAUUGUACUUUAAUUGAGUUUGAACUUUAAUCGCUAGUGUUUUAUACUAAUUAUGUAUUUUAUGCCUUGUAGGAGCAAUCCGAGCUAUGUAGAUAUUACGGAAUGAAAUCGAGCUAUUUGAAUUGCUGAAGUCGAGUAGAAGCCAAAGGUAUUAAGCUGGAAUCGCGUUUGGGGGUCGAGAACCACGUCUAAACUUCAAAAAUUAAGCAAAACGGCAAGCUCUAAGAAAAAACCCACAGUCGCAGCGUGCCACAGCUGCCUUAUUUUGUUGUUGCCUUCAAAGUGCACACUUCCUCAUAAACUCCACUAUCACAUCGCAUGUCGCGUUGCCCCAUGCAGCACGCCUGUGCAAUUUUUAUAGAGUAACAAUCGAAUGUCAACCAGGAGAAGGUGGUUUCGUUCAGGUCUGACCCUACUUGGUAUAAAUACAUGUAAAAAUGUUAUUUUGGGGACAUUUGACACAUUUUAAACCGAAGUCUGAUGACCCGAAAGGUCAUUACUUGAUUUAAAUUAAAUUAUGUAUUUUCUGAGGCCUUGAAAGCCUCUUUAGCCUCGUCUCAAUUUGUGUGCGCAGUCCGUACGUUUAGCCGGAAAGCUUAUAUGGUAAAAUGUAUGAAAAGAAUAAUAAGUUUUGAUUGUAAAAGGAAUAAAUUUGGCUUCGUUCAAUAUUUUGGGUAAACGGACCCGGACCCGUGAUUUAACUGUCCCAGAGGGUCCGUAGGAAAAUAUGAGACUUGGGCGUAUACCCAGAAUUGAAUUUCGAGGUCCCGAACCCGAGAAAUAAAUUUUUUUAGAAAAUUAUUGCCUGAAAGAUUUUAAGGAAAUUUGAAAACAAAUAUGAUUAGAAAGCAUUAGUAUCGGGCCCGUAUUUUGGCUUUGGAGCCCAGUAUAUGUCUUAUAUAUGGUUUAGGUCUUUUCUGUGAAAUUUGAAUAAAAAUGAUUGUCGUUUGACGUAGUUCGAACUUGAAUUGUCAAAUUUAAUACUUGUUGAAGUUUGAGAAAAGUUGUUGAUUUUGAUAAUACGUAUAAAUAUAGCAUGGCAUACCAAUGAGUUGUUUGCUUCCCCUUUCUCUCUUUCUCCUUCAUUUUCUUUUCCUUUUUCCAUGUAUGUAAUUCUCGCUAGUCAAGCCAAAGUAACUUUUCCUUCCCUUCCUCUAAAGUUCUCAAGAUCUGAUGUCUGAAAAGUACAUAAA